AUUGAACGCUGGCGGCAGGCCUAACACAUGCAAGUCGAGCGGAUGAAGGGAGCUUGCUCCUGGAUUCAGCGGCGGACGGGUGAGUAAUGCCUAGGAAUCUGCCUGGUAGUGGGGGAUAACGUCCGGAAACGGGCGCUAAUACCGCAUCCGUCCUGAGGGUGAAAGUGGGGGAUCUUCGGACCUCACGCUAUCAGAUGAGCCUAGGUCGGAUUAGCUAGUUGGUGGGGUAAAGGCCUACCAAGGCGACGAUCCGUAACUGGUCUGAGAGGAUGAUCAGUCACACUGGAACUGAGACACGGUCCAGACUCCUACGGGAGGCAGCAGUGGGGAAUAUUGGACAAUGGGCGAAAGCCUGAUCCAGCCAUGCCGCGUGUGUGAAGAAGGUCUUCGGAUUGUAAAGCACUUUAAGUUGGGAGGAAGGGCAGUAAGUUAAUACCUUGCUGUUUUGACGUUACCAACAGAAUAAGCACCGGCUAACUUCGUG
This 484-nucleotide ribosomal RNA is filed under the name uncultured bacterium. RNAcentral describes it as "partial 16S ribosomal RNA". It matches the Rfam family "Bacterial small subunit ribosomal RNA", at positions 30 to 507 of the family's 1533-position model. The record is from RNAcentral.